GAACGCACAUUGCGCCCCCUGGUAUUCCGGGGGGCAUGCCUGUUCGAGCGUCAUUUCACCACUCAAGCCUCGCUUGGUAUUGGGCGUCGCGAGUCUCUCGCGCGCCUCAAAGUCUCCGGCUGAGCGGUUCGUCUCCCAGCGUUGUGGCAACUAUUCGCAGAGGAGUUCGAGUCGUCGCGGCCGUUAAAUCUUUACAAGGUUGACCUCGGAUCAGGUAGGGAUACCCGCUGAACUUAAG
RNAcentral lists this unclassified non-coding RNA (238 nucleotides) under uncultured Mycosphaerellaceae. RNAcentral's name for it is "sequence contains 5.8S rRNA gene". The stretch from base 1 to 53 matches the Rfam family "5.8S ribosomal RNA", at positions 102 to 154 of the family's 154-position model. Lineage: Eukaryota; Fungi; Ascomycota; Dothideomycetes; Mycosphaerellales; Mycosphaerellaceae. The record is from RNAcentral.